Long non-coding RNA from Epinephelus lanceolatus (giant grouper), 1345 nucleotides. RefSeq lists it as uncharacterized. The record is from RefSeq and is a predicted model, not a curated record. NCBI's taxonomy places the organism in Eukaryota, Metazoa, Chordata, Actinopteri, Perciformes, Serranidae.
CUUCCUUAAGCGACACAUUAUACUUUGAUAGCAACCCUGAGGGCAGGACAGCUUCUGUACAUUAUGUUUUGGAUUCUUCAAUAAGUAAUGUCGGCAGGUUGACAUAAUUCCAGUCAUGACUUCAAGGACGAGUAUCUUUCCACUUGUGUUCCCAGCCUUGGUGGUGUGCCUAGCUGUUAUACUCGUCUGCUUGUAUCAGUACGCAAGAAAGAAGAGAGCAGCAUAUGACUUUGCCAUCGCAAGACUGCAAGAUGAAAACACAUCUGUAGCAGUCUUUACAAUUUCUUUGUCUGAAGAUCAGGCAGAAACGGACAGACAUGACAUCCCUCCUCCGUACAGCCCUGUGGGAGACCCACCGCCAUACGCAUUGUUUGACCCCAAGUUGACGAGCGUUUGGCCGGUGGACUCACUACCUGCCUACGAGAUGCAUGAUAUAACACUGCCUCUGGCACCUCAUCACCAGAUGACAACCACAGCACCAGCCUCUUCAUCCGAAAGCAGCACCCAUAACCACCCAUAGCCAGAAAGGCUACACCAGGCACACACUCCAUUUUAACUGCCAACAAACGCUGACGCACUUUCUUUUGUUUUUGUGUGUAAUGUGUAUUAUGAAAAAAUACUAUCGCCAAUUAUUUCAUGUUGUGAUUUUAACUUAAAAAUAAUUUGCAUUGAUAUUAACUGCAGACGGUGAAGCAAUGCUCGACAUUUGCAAUUUUAAUACAUUUUUAUAUGAACAUCAAAACUACAGUGUAGUUGUCCAACUGCAUCUACACACCAGCAGAAUCAUCAAAGCACCAAGUGUUUCUCUAUGUUAUACUAUAUACUCUUUAUUACAAUACAGUACUUACAAGUUUGAGGGAAAAUAAAAUAAAUAUUAAAUGAGUUGCCAGUAUUAUUUUUCUCUAUUUUCUAAGAAGAAACGUGUACAGUGAUAGUGUUUCCUUGGCUUUUGAAUCAUGUUAAGGCAAAAGUAAGUAUGAAUUUGAAGCCACUGAUAAAUAUUUUACUGAUCUGUACAUUAAAAAUAACAAAGAAAAAAACAUGACAACCUCCAUUAAUUGUCCAACCUGUAAUGUUAAAUAAUAUGUUUGCCUUCAUUAUACAAUCAGUGCAUACUGUAGGCUACUUCUUUAGUUUUUUCUUCAGUUUUUUUGUUGUUCUCAGUGCUACAAUUACAACUCCAACAGAAUCAAGCAGGUACUAGUCGGAAACUGUGAUUCGUUCGCUGGUCCUCUCACUGUCCAACAAAUCAGACGCUUUGCCAGCAUAGGACAACAAAUGUACAUAAUUAACAUUUAAAAAGGAAACAAAAUAAAUCGAGACGGCAAGAUUAACACAAAAUGUA